UAGGGAAUAUUGGUCAAUGGGGGCAACCCUGAACCAGCCAUGCCGCGUGCAGGAAGACUGCCCUAUGGGUUGUAAACUGCUUUUGUACGGGAAGAAAUCAAUCUACGUGUAGGUUGUUGACGGUACUGUGAGAAUAAGGAUCGGCUAACUUCGUGCCAGCAGCCGCGGUAAUACGAAGGAUCCAAGCGUUGUCCGGAUUUACUGGGUUUAAAGGGUGCGUAGGCGGUUUAAUAAGUCAGUGGUGAAAGCCUUCAGCUUAACUGAAGAAUUGCCAUUGAAACUGUUAGACUCGAGUAUGGUUGAGGUCACUGGAAUGUAACAUGUAGCGGUGAAAUGCUUAGAUAUGUUACAGAACACCAAUUGCGAAGGCAGGUGACUAAGCCAUAACUGACGCUGAGGCACGAAAGCGUGGGGAGCAAACAGGAUUAGAUACCCUGGUAGUCCACGCCCUAAACGUUGAAUACUCGGUCUUGGCGAUAUACAGUCAGGGCCCAAGCGAAAGCGUUAAGUAUUCCACCUGGGAAGUACGUUCGCAAGAAUG
RNAcentral lists this ribosomal RNA (541 nucleotides) under uncultured bacterium. Its description in RNAcentral is "bacterial SSU rRNA". It matches the Rfam family "Bacterial small subunit ribosomal RNA", at positions 355 to 896 of the family's 1533-position model. The record is from RNAcentral.